RNAcentral lists this long non-coding RNA (731 nucleotides) under Triticum aestivum (bread wheat). Its description in RNAcentral is "long non-coding RNA (TAES_LNC027429)". The record is from RNAcentral. Lineage: Eukaryota; Viridiplantae; Streptophyta; Magnoliopsida; Poales; Poaceae.
UUCGUACUAGGUCACACUGUUCGAUCAACACUCACAUGACGGAAUGACUUGUAGAUGAUUGAUAUGACAUAUGUGAGCAGUAACAGUUUGGCAGGAUGUUGAUGAUGAUGUUGAGAUGAUCUUGAGGAUGAUCAUUUAGUUUGUGAUGUGGUCACGAGGUGACCGUGUGGAUAUGUUGAUCACGAGGUGAUCACAUGGAUGUUUUGAUCAUGAGGUGAUCAUAUGGACCACGAGGUGGUCAAGAUGGUAUAUUGCUUGGCCGGUUAGCCAAGAAUGAGAUUGUUAUUGGGAUUGAGAUGCUGGUUUAUCAGUAUGGUAGUAGUUUCAUAUCAUACUUAGUAGUUGCUUUCGUAUCUGGUAGUUGUUAAUUUGAUUAACCUGCUUAAUGCUAUGUUGUUGUCUUGCAUUGAUGGUUUUCGUUGUUGUGAGCUUGCAAGUACAUUCAAUGUACUGACCUGGCGUGUCAUGCCAGAUUGCAGGUGAUACCGUGAUUGCUUGAUUGCUUGUCGUGGUUUCCGUUCGUACGAGCUAGAUCGUGUCCCAACCAGAGUACCUGCGGAGUGGAGUUCACCACCUUCGUCGUUGUUAUGCCGCUAGAAGAUUUCCGUUGCUAGCAUAGAGCAAGUGUAGUAUCUCAGGCGUAGUGUCGCCGUCUUGAUGCGAACCUUUGUAACAUCAUACCUUUGUAUUUAUCCUUUGUAAUAAGAGUUGAUUUGUUCUAUGUCAAGCAG